GAGCCACCGAGUGAGAGCAUGACUAUGCGAUUGUGUAGGUGGAAAAGGAGAGCGAAAUGAGUCACUGCAAGCCAAAAAUACAAAAUUCUCCUUCUCCCUACUCUUGUAUUCGAACUAAACCAGCGUCACUUGCCUCCGCAACUGUUUCGUUAUAAUUUGCGACGUUAGUUCGCGCGUGUGCCUCUUUUUUUCUCCCGCCUCGACCUCCCUUUUAACGCGACAUCAAGGAAGAAACGAGAAGACAACUCAUGUGCGAAAAAGAGAAAGCGAUUCUGCCGGGGGUGGCGAAGGAGUACAUGCAAAAAGACAUCGAGUAACAGCAGCAGCAGCAGCAAGAAAAGAGAAAGCUACGUUGACAAUGACAGAUUAAAGACCAAUAAUUAAUAAAAAUGAAAAUGAACGACCGAAAAUCAAUUUAGAAAAAGAAAAUAGAAGAUCCGCGUGAAAGAUUUCAACAGCGCUAUUCUGACAGUUAUUCCCGUGUCAUCCGGCCAGCGAAACUUCGGCUGCAACGCAAGUCAAGUCAACGAUUUUUAUAGCGGCUGCUUUUAGCCCCAAACUCCCAGACUUUUAUUAAGAGGACUAUAAGUAACAGGCGAAAUAGGUCGGCCAAAUGACAAGCCGAACAGGGGAAGCGGCUGUUAAAUACGAGCAAGAAAAAUGGGAUGUGAAUAACGAAAAGAAAAGGAAGGAAGGGAAGAAAAUGGGAGAACGACAGAUGAAACGAGAAAGAGUAUGCGGAAAAGAAAUACGUAAAAGUCCAAGGAAUUAGAAAGUGCAAGAAAAAGAGUCCAAAUGAUGGAGACAUGGGUUCAGAAAGUCAAAAGAGCCGUGUCAAGCGCAUAUAAUUAGAACGCGAAGACAUAACCAAGAAAAUAAAAUAGAAGCACGUAACGCAAAGAUGCGAAGCUGUGCAAAGGGCAAGAAGUGCAAGAUAGUAAUGAAAAAAGUCAAAGCAAAUUAUUCAUUGAAACAUAGAAUACAGUAAAAAGGAAUUCUCCGCGUGAGAAUCAGAGACGCAGGGCAAUUAUAGAAAUCGUUCCUUCUGGGAGAUCAUCAACUUCUCUUCUCGCACUAAAAGGCUAUUUUUAAGUUGAGAAAAAUAGCCUGACUUCAAUUUAAAACUCGAAAUACCUCUGCUAGGAAUUACCAAUGAAAGAUCGGGGAUUAUUUAAAUUGACAGCUACUCUGGUUAAGUGCUGGCAGCGCACGCGUGCUGCUACUGAUUGGAAGAGAAAGAGGCAAUGAACUAUCAAGUAGUCGCUUGAUGCCGCUUGAUGUCGACGAACGACGAACGGACAAAAUUCUUGAGGAUCAGAAAGCCAAAAGAAAACGAGUAGAGAGUCGACAGAGCCGAAAUUCUCUCCGCUUUAUUUCGAUUUGUCGUAUAUCCGCCUCCCUAAGACCCGCGGCGCGUUCAUGUGUGUGGUCCUGUGCGCGCUCGCGUGUCGACCCGACAGCAACCUUUUUUACCGACCUCCACGAGGACUCGAACGCCCACUCUCUUCUCUUCAUGAGCUUUUUAGCGGCGAAUUCCAAAAUCCUUUGGUGCAAUAGUCGCUCCCUGGUAACCGAUGGCACUUAUGCAAUCGUUGUGGCUUCUGUUGGAACACCAAUGUGGAGUAAUGUACGGGAAGGGAAGAAGGCAAUCGGCUCAAAGGCUCCGAAAAUGGGCGGCACGACUUUCUAAAUUUCACGCUAAAUAAGACUUCUCUGCAUGAA
Molecule: long non-coding RNA, 1722 nt
Organism: Ceratosolen solmsi marchali
Lineage: Eukaryota; Metazoa; Arthropoda; Insecta; Hymenoptera; Agaonidae
Exons: 3
Source: RefSeq, a predicted model, not a curated record